GUGGCGAGUGGCGAACGGGUGAGUAAUGUAUCGGAACGUGCCCAGUAGCGGGGGAUAACUACGCGAAAGCGUAGCUAAUACCGCAUACGCCCUACGGGGGAAAGCAGGGGAUCGCAAGACCUUGCACUAUUGGAGCGGCCGAUAUCGGAUUAGCUAGUUGGUGGGGUAACGGCUCACCAAGGCGACGAUCCGUAGCUGGUUUGAGAGGACGACCAGCCACACUGGGACUGAGACACGGCCCAGACUCCUACGGGAGGCAGCAGUGGGGAAUUUUGGACAAUGGGGGAAACCCUGAUCCAGCCAUCCCGCGUGUGCGAUGAAGGCCUUCGGGUUGUAAAGCACUUUUGGCAGGAAAGAAACGUCAUGGGCUAAUACCCCGUGAAACUGACGGUACCUGCAGAAUAAGCACCGGCUAACUACGUGCCAGCAGCCGCGGUAAUACGUAGGGUGCAAGCGUUAAUCGGAAUUACUGGGCGUAAAGCGUGCGCAGGCGGUUCGGAAAGAAAGAUGUGAAAUCCCAGAGCUUAACUUUGGAACUGCAUUUUUAACUACCGAGCUAGAGUGUGUCAGAGGGAGGUGGAAUUCCGCGUGUAGCAGUGAAAUGCGUAGAUAUGCGGAGGAACACUGAUGGCGAAGGCAGCCUCCUGGGAUAACACUGACGCUCAUGCACGAAAGCGUGGGGAGCAAACAGGAUUAGAUANCCUGGUAGUCCACGCCCUAAACGAUGUCAACUAGCUGUUGGGGCCUUC
This 749-nucleotide ribosomal RNA is filed under the name uncultured Alcaligenaceae bacterium. Its description in RNAcentral is "bacterial SSU rRNA". It matches the Rfam family "Bacterial small subunit ribosomal RNA", at positions 88 to 833 of the family's 1533-position model. Lineage: Bacteria; Pseudomonadati; Pseudomonadota; Betaproteobacteria; Burkholderiales; Alcaligenaceae. The record is from RNAcentral.